Molecule: small nucleolar RNA, 67 nt
Filed under: Eutrema salsugineum
Lineage: Eukaryota; Viridiplantae; Streptophyta; Magnoliopsida; Brassicales; Brassicaceae
Description: Plant small nucleolar RNA R71
Rfam family: Plant small nucleolar RNA R71
About the family: R71 is a member of the C/D box family of snoRNAs containing the C (UGAUGA) and D (CUGA) box motifs.
Source: Rfam by way of RNAcentral
AAACCAUGAUGAGGGCAGUCUCUCUUAUACUCUUUAAAUCGCUCCCAAGCUUCAUUCUAUUGGGCCU